GACGAACGCUGGCGGCGUGCCUAAUACAUGCAAGUCGAGCGAAUCAAUGGGAGCUUGCUCCCUGAGAUUAGCGGCGGACGGGUGAGUAACACGUGGGUAACCUGCCUGUAAGACUGGGAUAACUUCGGGAAACCGGAGCUAAUACCGGAUACGUUCUUUUCUCGCAUGAGAAGAGAUGGAAAGAUGGUUCCGGCUAUACCUUACAGAUUGACCCGCGGCGCAUUAGCUAGUUGGUGAGGUAACGGCGCACCAAGGCGACGAUGCGUAGCCGACCUGAGAGGGUGAUCGGCCACACUGGGACUGAGACACGGCCCAGACGCCUACGGGAGGCAGCAGUAGGGAAUCUUCCGCAAUGGACGAAAGUCUGACGGAGCAACGCCGCGUGAGCGAAGAAGGCCUUCGGGUCGUAAAGCUCUGUUGUUAGGGAAGAACAAGUACAAGAGUAACUGCUUGUACCUUGACGGUACCUAACCAGAAAGCCACGGCUAACUACGUGCCAGCCGCCGCGGUAA
Molecule: ribosomal RNA, 512 nt
Filed under: uncultured bacterium
Lineage: Bacteria
Description: partial 16S ribosomal RNA
Rfam family: Bacterial small subunit ribosomal RNA
Source: RNAcentral